AUUCAACUGACGAGUCCCAAAUAGGAUGAAAAGUGCGUCUCGGAU
Non-coding RNA from Schistosoma haematobium, 45 nucleotides. The record is from Rfam. Lineage: Eukaryota; Metazoa; Platyhelminthes; Trematoda; Strigeidida; Schistosomatidae.